ACACCGCCUGGUUCCAGCAGGCCGCGCCGGAACCUUCUGUGGUGUGUCACUCCAAGAAAUCCAGGAAUUCUAAAUUCAUCCCUGCUAUCUGGGUAAUAAUGAAGGUAGAGUUUUCCAAAGCUUUCUUCCUGCAAAAAAAGCCCAAGGACCAAAAAAAGUCAUUAGAAGAAAUGACUCCAAAAGCAAAGAAAUUCUACAAGCAUCAAAAGAUGGCAGAAUUCCCCAACUUAGGUUUAUGAGUUUGGGUGGAAACCAAAAACCCCAAAAAAGGCAAUGGGAAAAACAGAAAUUACAGGCCUCGCUUACUGUUGAGUAUACACAGCUGCGGGGA
Long non-coding RNA from Lontra canadensis (Northern American river otter), 331 nucleotides. RefSeq lists it as uncharacterized. The record is from RefSeq and is a predicted model, not a curated record. The transcript has 3 exons. NCBI's taxonomy places the organism in Eukaryota, Metazoa, Chordata, Mammalia, Carnivora, Mustelidae.